GACGAACGCUGGCGGCGCGCUUAACACAUGCAAGUCGAACGGAAAGGCCUGCUUUCCCUUGUGGAUUGCGGGUACUCGAGUGGCGAACGGGUGAGUAACACGUGAGUGAUCUGCCCCCAACUUGGGUAUAAGCCUGGGAAACUGGGUCUAAUUCCCGAUAGGACUGCAGGGUGGUUCCUGUGGUGGAAAACGAUUUUCUAGUGGUUGGGGAUGAGCUCGCGGCCUAUCAGCUUGUUGGUGGGGUAAUGGCCUACCAAGGCGGCGACGGGUAGCCGGCCUGAGAGGGUGGACGGCAACAUUGGGACUGAGAUACGGCCCAGACUCCUACGGGAGGCAGCAGUGGGGAAUAUGGCACAAUGGGCGGAAGCCUGAGGCAGCGACGCCGCGUGGGGGAUGACGGCCUUCGGGUUGUAAACUCCUUUCGACCGCGAGGAAGCCACCUGGUUGGAAGGGUGGUGACGGUAGUGGUAGAAGAAGCACCGGCUAACUACGUG
RNAcentral lists this ribosomal RNA (494 nucleotides) under uncultured bacterium. RNAcentral describes it as "partial 16S ribosomal RNA". It matches the Rfam family "Bacterial small subunit ribosomal RNA", at positions 28 to 507 of the family's 1533-position model. The record is from RNAcentral.